RNAcentral lists this transfer RNA (73 nucleotides) under Listeria monocytogenes. RNAcentral's name for it is "tRNA-Asn". It matches the Rfam family "tRNA". From Rfam's summary of the family: Transfer RNA (tRNA) molecules are approximately 80 nucleotides in length. Their secondary structure includes four short double-helical elements and three loops (D, anti-codon, and T loops). Further hydrogen bonds mediate the characteristic L-shaped molecular structure. tRNAs have two regions of fundamental functional importance: the anti-codon, which is responsible for specific mRNA codon recognition, and the 3' end, to which the tRNAs corresponding amino acid is attached (by aminoacyl-tRNA synthetases). tRNAs cope with the degeneracy of the genetic code in two manners: having more than one tRNA (with a specific anti-codon) for a particular amino acid; and 'wobble' base-pairing, i.e. permitting non-standard base-pairing at the 3rd anti-codon position. Lineage: Bacteria; Bacillati; Bacillota; Bacilli; Caryophanales; Listeriaceae. The record is from RNAcentral.
UCCACAGUAGCUCAGUUAGUAGAGCAAUCGGCUGUUAACCGAUCGGUCGCAGGUUCGAGUCCUGCCUGUGGAG